UAUCAUGGCAUAAGAGGUCUCAAGUAGCAGAUUGCAAGGUAGCUAUAUAGUGUAGUGGUGUCAUGGUAGGAUAAUCACACAAAGAGUGUGCAAGUGAGUCUUGUAUCUAAUUAAGUAGUGAAUAAAUGUUUGAGUUUCCUUGUAGAGAGUUGGUCUCCCGCAUUGGUGUCAGUGCGAAGGUCUUCUCGAAGUAGUGUGGGUAAGGGUCUAAAAAAAUGUGGUAGCACGCUACUUUGGUGCCACUUCUAGGAAGUCGGUGUUAAGUUCGAGGUGCCGAUUUCUCAACAUAGUACUAACCUAAAAGGUAACUGUGGUGCGUAUCUGGUUCUUACCUACGACUUAGAUAAAAAAAAUUAAUUGUUAUCUGGUUGCACACUAACUAAGGUGUAAGCGUAACACAAAUAGUUGAAGAAAGGUGAGUCCCAAGAAGUACGACUAACCAGAAAGUUGAGGCGAACGAGGACACGUGCCCCACUAAAUUUCAAUUCGUUAUUUGAUCUCACUUAUAGAACUUGCUCUAAAACCAAACACAUGUUAAAUAAAUUUGCUUGAGAGCGUUGUGACAAGUAGAAGCCAAUGAGAAAAGAAGACAAGAUCUUGGCCGUUGCAUCACGAUUCAGUGUAUUGCAUGAAAUACCAAAUGUGACACAAAUGAGGCUAAAAAUAGGAUGGCUAGCUAGCUGAAAAAUAGGAUUAUCUUUAUGAUUUGACACUCGUAUCACAAUAAUAAUAUGUGAGAUUACUUUGGAUCAGGAUGUCAAAUUCUAAAAAGCUCGCAACCCAAACUGAUUUUUUGCCACAAUUUGUAAACAUCUAUAUAUCCGGG
Molecule: long non-coding RNA, 826 nt
Filed under: Setaria viridis
Lineage: Eukaryota; Viridiplantae; Streptophyta; Magnoliopsida; Poales; Poaceae
Description: long non-coding RNA (SVIR_LNC003859)
Source: RNAcentral